GGCUGGCGCCGCUGGGCUGGGCGGCGGCGCCGCCUCGCGGCCAAGCCUGCAGGUGAGAGGCUCCCGGGUUUCCUGUCUGUCAGUUUUUCUGUCUCACGGUCGCCUGCCUGACUGUCUGGCUAACAUAUCCAUCCGCCUGUCUUGACGCCUCACAAUCUCACCUGUGUCUCUCCGUCCAUCGGUCUCUCACUUAUCACACCGCCGUCCACUGGAGAGUCAGAUUUGUCCGCCCGUCCGUCUACGUCCAUCUUUCAGUAAAUUGCCACCCCACCAAAGAAGACCCUAAAUUAGUACCAGAUUCUAGGCUUCAGGAAGGCAAAGGCCAGGUUUGUCUCAUUCACUGCUCUACCCAGUGCCUGGCACGGAGCACAGGAUACACUCAACCACCCCCUCCUCCAGGAACCCUUCCCUGACCACCACCCAGGCUUGGAUAAUUGAUCCUACAA
Molecule: long non-coding RNA, 446 nt
Organism: Bos taurus (domestic cattle)
Lineage: Eukaryota; Metazoa; Chordata; Mammalia; Artiodactyla; Bovidae
Source: Ensembl